GCCUGGUGCUGGGGAGGGGAAGCGAAGGGGCGGGACCCGGCCGCCGCAGCCCGCAGAGCUUCCCUCGCUCCUCCCCGGGGGCUGUCAGCGCGGGCUCCGCCCCCUCGUCCUUCCAAUCGCUCUCGGCCCCGCCUCCCCCGCCCUCCCGUUCUCCGCCCACUUCAGCUGUCGCCGCGCAGCAGCAGUUCUGUUCGGUUUCGCCUUCCUGCUGUGCAGUCUUCUGACGCUUGCUGUCCAACUUUGGAGUUUUCUUGCCUUUUUUUCUCUCAGAGUUGAGCCCCUGCCCGGGCCCUUUAGUCCCUCGGUCACGAGGAACGGUGGAGUUUAGAACCUGCGAUGGAACUCACCAGAGACCAGAUAGCUAGAGAAUGGCUGAACUGGGUUUUAAAUCUAGUCAAUCUUGACCCCAGAGCUCUCCAGCCUAAAGGUACCUGGAUUUAUUGUUUAUUCAGAUUAAGAAAAUAUUAUUAGCAAAUGAACUAACUGAAGACUGAUGGGACAACAUACGGUGCCAAAAUGCUUCAAAAAGAGUUGCUUGCUACUGUUUUCUGAUGUUUCCCCAUGUCCUAUGUAUAAAAUGAAUAAAUAAAUAACAGUUUUUAAAAAUCCA
Pan troglodytes (chimpanzee) is the source of this 610-nucleotide long non-coding RNA. RefSeq lists it as uncharacterized. The transcript is spliced from 3 exons. The record is from RefSeq and is a predicted model, not a curated record. NCBI's taxonomy places the organism in Eukaryota, Metazoa, Chordata, Mammalia, Primates, Hominidae.